This 783-nucleotide ribosomal RNA is filed under the name uncultured bacterium. RNAcentral's name for it is "bacterial SSU rRNA". It matches the Rfam family "Bacterial small subunit ribosomal RNA", at positions 8 to 768 of the family's 1533-position model. The record is from RNAcentral.
AGAGUUUGAUCAUGGCUCAGAAUGAACGCUGGCGGCGUGCCUAACACAUGCAAGUCGAGCGAGAAAUCACACUUCGGUGUGAGAGUAGAGCGGCGCACGGGUGAGUAACGCGUGGAUAAUCUACCCAUGGAUUGGGGGUAACCCUGCGAAAGCGGGGCUAAUACCUGAUAGUCUGGUCAUUAUAUAGAUGAUCGGUAAAGGUGGCCUCUGAUACAAGCUACUGUCCGUGGAUGAGUCCGCGUCUCAUUAGCUGGUUGGUGGGGUAAUGGCCUACCAAGGCGACGAUGAGUAGCUGGUCUGAGAGGAUGAUCAGCCACACUGGGACUGGAACACGGCCCAGACUCCUACGGGAGGCAGCAGUGGGGAAUAUUGGGCAAUGGGCGCAAGCCUGACCCAGCAACGCCGUGUGAGGGAAGAAGGUUUUCGGAUCGUAAACCUCUGUCAGAAGGGAAGAAGUGGCAGAUAUUUAAUAUAUAUUUGCUUUGACGGUACCUUCAGAGGGAGCACCGGCUAACUCCGUGCCAGCAGCCGCGGUAAUACGGAGGGUGCAAGCGUUAUUCGGAAUCACUGGGCGUAAAGCGCGCGUACGUUGCGUGGUAAGUCAGAUGUGAAAGCCCCCGGCUCAACCGGGGAACUGCAUUUGAAACUGCCAUGCUUGAGUACGACAGAGGGUGGCGGAAUUUCCUGGUGUAGGAGUGAAAUCCGUAGAUAUCGGGAGGAACACCCAGUGGCGAAAGCGGCACCUGGGUCGAUACUGACGCCUGAGUGCGAAAGCGUGCGGUA